RNAcentral lists this long non-coding RNA (370 nucleotides) under Homo sapiens (human). RNAcentral describes it as "non-protein coding lnc-MBD2-1:6". Lineage: Eukaryota; Metazoa; Chordata; Mammalia; Primates; Hominidae. The record is from RNAcentral.
AGCGGAGAUGAGGGAGCGGCCGGAGAAGAGAGGAUGCUGUUGAGCGUUAGGUCGCGACCCCUGCUGGAAGGUUAAGAGAUAUGGAGAUUUCCACAAGGAUUUGGAGAGGAGCCCCAGUAGUUACUAAAAUUCUGCAUUAGAUCUGUCAGGAAAGCUUCCCCUAACUGAAAGCUGGAUGAUGACCCGAAGGACCAGUGAGACUGCAGCUUCCGGAACUCAUUCACAGCAGUAAUAGUUAUGUCUAGUAUCUUACUCAACUGUUGUUGCUACAUCUACCACAGUGCCUGUCUCAGUCCUUUUGGGCUGCCAUAAGAAAUUACCAAAGACUGAAUGACUUGUAAACAAUAAAUUUAUUUCUCAGAGUUCUGGA